UGCGAUGUGGAACAAGAGGUAGUUCAUGAGAUUCAUGCUCUCAGAGUUGAUGGUUCGAAUCCGUCCAUCGCAC
This is a non-coding RNA of Tritrichomonas musculus, 73 nucleotides long. The record is from the annotation of a GenBank genome assembly. Lineage: Eukaryota; Parabasalia; Tritrichomonadida; Tritrichomonadidae.